UAGCCUCUGUGUCUUGACAUGCAUGCUCAGU
RNAcentral lists this non-coding RNA (31 nucleotides) under Rattus norvegicus (Norway rat). Lineage: Eukaryota; Metazoa; Chordata; Mammalia; Rodentia; Muridae. The record is from RNAcentral.